UGAUAUUCCUGUACUACCGAUAACCGUUUGAGAGAAGGGAUGACACAGUAGGAUAAGCUAAGCACACUGUUGGUUAUGUGUGCCCAAGCAUUGAGGCAGUCAAAGUAGGCAAAUCCGCUUUGAUAAUGCUGGGAUGUGAUGGGGAGCGAAAUUUAGUAGCGAAGUAGCUGAUUUCACACUGUCAAGAAAAGUCUCUAUCGAGGUUAAAGGUACCCGUACCGCAAACCGACACAGGUGGGUGAGGAGAGUAUCCUAAGGCCAGCGAGAGAACUGUUGUUAAGGAACUCGGCAAAAUGACCCCGUAACUUAGGGAUAAGGGGUGCCACCAUCAGGUGGCCGCAGAGAAUAGGCCCAAGCGACUGUUUACCAAAAACAUAGGUUUCUGCUAAGUCGCAAGACGAUGUAUAGGAGCUGACGCCUGCCCGGUGCUGGAAGGUUAAGGGGAUCUGUUAGAGCAAUCGAAGCAGUGAACUUAAGCCCCAGUAAACGGCGGCCGUAACUAUAACGGUCCUAAGGUAGCGAAAUUCCUUGUCGGGUAAGUUCCGACCCGCACGAAAGGCGUAACGAUUUGGGCACUGUCUCAACAACAGACUCGGUGAAAUUGUAAUUCCGGUGAAGAUGCCGGAUACCUGCGACAGGACGGAAAGACCCCAUGGAGCUUUACUGUAGCUUGACAUUGGGUCUUGGUACUACAUGUACAGGAUAGGUGGGAGGCUUUGAAACCAGGACG
This 730-nucleotide ribosomal RNA is filed under the name Clostridioides difficile. RNAcentral describes it as "partial 23S ribosomal RNA". It matches the Rfam family "Bacterial large subunit ribosomal RNA", at positions 1431 to 2170 of the family's 2925-position model. Lineage: Bacteria; Bacillati; Bacillota; Clostridia; Peptostreptococcales; Peptostreptococcaceae. The record is from RNAcentral.